Molecule: non-coding RNA, 106 nt
Organism: Capsicum annuum
Lineage: Eukaryota; Viridiplantae; Streptophyta; Magnoliopsida; Solanales; Solanaceae
Source: Rfam
GUUCUCCCUUCUGGGACAUCCAAUAAAAUUGGAAGGAGACACAGAAGAUUAGCAUGGCCCCUGUGCAAGGAUGACAUGCACAAAUCGAGAAAUGGUUCUAAUUUUU